GUCAGCGGCAGACGGGUGAGUCACGCGUGGGAACGUACCUUUUGGUUCGGAACAACACAGGGAAACUUGUGCUAAUACCGGAUAAGCCCUUACGGGGAAAGAUUUAUCGCCGAAAGAUCGGCCCGCGUCUGAUUAGCUAGUUGGUAGGGUAAUGGCCUACCAAGGCGACGAUCAGUAGCUGGUCUGAGAGGAUGAUCAGCCACAUUGGGACUGAGACACGGCCCAAACUCCUACGGGAGGCAGCAGUGGGGAAUAUUGGACAAUGGGGGCAACCCUGAUCCAGCCAUGCCGCGUGAGUGAUGAAGGCCCUAGGGUUGUAAAGCUCUUUUGUGCGGGAAGAUAAUGACGGUACCGCAAGAAUAAGCCCCGGCUAACUUCGUGCCAGCAGCCGCGGUAAUACGAAGGGGGCUAGCGUUGCUCGGAAUCACUGGGCGUAAAGGGUGCGUAGGCGGGUUUUUAAGUCAGGGGUGAAAUCCUGGAGCUCAACUCCAGAACUGCCUUUGAUACUGAAGAUCUUGAGUCCGGGAGAGGUGAGUGGAACUGCGAGUGUANAGGUGAAAUUCGUAGAUAUUCGCAAGAACACCAGUGGCGAAGGCGGCUCACUGGCCCGGUACUGACGCUGAGGCACGAAAGCGUGGGGA
Molecule: ribosomal RNA, 641 nt
Filed under: Bradyrhizobium sp. Ad242
Lineage: Bacteria; Pseudomonadati; Pseudomonadota; Alphaproteobacteria; Hyphomicrobiales; Nitrobacteraceae
Description: bacterial SSU rRNA
Rfam family: Bacterial small subunit ribosomal RNA
Source: RNAcentral